Molecule: ribosomal RNA, 253 nt
Filed under: uncultured bacterium
Lineage: Bacteria
Description: partial 16S ribosomal RNA
Rfam family: Bacterial small subunit ribosomal RNA
Source: RNAcentral
UACGUAGGGGGCAAGCGUUGUCCGGAAUCAUUGGGCGUAAAGCGCGUGUAGGCGGCCAGAAAAGUCCGCUGUGAAAACUCGAGGCUCAACCUCGAGAUGUCGGCGGAAACCAUCUGGCUAGAGUCCGGAAGAGGAAAGUGGAAUUCCUGGUGUAGCGGUGAAAUGCGCAGAUAUCAGGAAGAACACCCGUGGCGAAGGCGGCUCUCUGGGACGGUACUGACGCUGAGACGCGAAAGCGUGGGGAGCAAACAGG